AAAUAAGAAGCAAAUAUUGCAUUUAAUUUCGACUUAAAAAUAUGAGAAUAAUUUUCUCCUUAUUUA
Molecule: transfer RNA, 66 nt
Filed under: Ahamus yunnanensis
Lineage: Eukaryota; Metazoa; Arthropoda; Insecta; Lepidoptera; Hepialidae
Description: tRNA-Arg
Source: RNAcentral